GAACCGGGAAAAGAACCAACAGGGAUUGCCCUAGUAACGGCGAGUGAAGCGGCAACAGCUCAAAUUUGAAAUCUGGCUCCUUUGGGGUCCGAGUUGUAAUUUGCAGAGGGAGCUUUUGGCGUCGGUCGUGGUCUAAGUUCCUUGGAACAGGACGUCACAGAGGGUGAGAAUCCCGUACGUGGCCGCCGGCCUUCGCCUUGUAAAGCCCCUUCGACGAGUCGAGUUGUUUGGGAAUGCAGCUCUAAAUGGGAGGUAAAUUUCUUCUAAAGCUAAAUACCCGCCAGAGACCGAUAGCGCACAAGUAGAGUGAUCGAAAGAUGAAAAGCACUUUGGAAAGAGAGUGAAAAAGCACGUGAAAUUGUUGAAAGGGAAGCGCUUGCGGCCAGACGUGCCCGCGGUUGAUCAUCCAGGCUCCAGCCUGGUGCACUCCUCCGCGGGCAGGCCAGCAUCAGUUCGGGCGGUCGGAUAAAGGCCUCUAUCACGUACCACCCCUCGGGGUGGCCUUAUAGGGGAGGCGCAACACGGCCAGCCCGGACUGAGGUUCCGCGCAUCUGCUAGGAUGCUGGCGUAAUGGCAGCAAGCGGCCCGUCUUGAAACACGGACCAAGGAGUCUAACAUCUAUGCGAGUGUUUGGGUGUCAAGCCCGAGCGCGCAAUGAAAGUGAACGGAGGUGGGAACCCUUACCGGUGCACCAUCGACCGAUCCUGAUGUCUUCGGAUGGAUUUGAGUAAGAGCAUAGCUGUUGGGACCCGAAAGAUGGUGAACUAUGCCUGAAUAGGGUGAAGCCAGAGGAAACUCUGGUGGAGGCUCGCAGCGGUUCUGACGUGCAAAUCGAUCGUCAAAUUUGGGCAUAGGGGCGAAAGACUAAUCG
RNAcentral lists this ribosomal RNA (871 nucleotides) under Torula fici. Its description in RNAcentral is "partial large subunit ribosomal RNA". It matches the Rfam family "Eukaryotic large subunit ribosomal RNA", at positions 48 to 937 of the family's 3401-position model. The record is from RNAcentral. Lineage: Eukaryota; Fungi; Ascomycota; Dothideomycetes; Pleosporales; Torulaceae.